GCGUGAUCGUGUCACCACGUGAAUUUAUACGCUUUUCCAUCGCGAUCGAAGAUCGAUUAGCCGGGGACAACGCUCGAGAACGCGGACGGCAAUGAUGGAGAGCUGAGAAUACGGUGCCCGAGUUUCGUGCAUGAGAGAUGAGUGGUUCUAGACUUGGCAGGGGCCGGGGUGGUCGCCUGGCCGUGUACGGGGGUUGCGGGGUGGUGGUUAUUCUUAUAGUGUUUCUCUACCGCGCCACCACCUUGGAGAUGGCCAGGCUUCGAGAACUUCACGUUCAGUGUGCUCAUCAGCAGGAGGCUCUGGCUGCUCAGCUUCAAGUGAUAUUCGAGUACAAAGUAAGGCUGGAGAAGUCCCUGGCUGAGGAGAAGAGUUCGAACGCGGCCGUGAGGCAAGAGCUUCAGCAGCGCGCGUCGAGGGAGAAGUCGCUGAGGGACAAGGACAGCAUAGAGGCGAUGCAGAGGUUCAACUCCCUGCAACAGACUUACAAGCUGCUGCAGACGGAGCACCAGGACCUGCAGGAAGAGUGCAAGAAGCGCGAUCAACAAGCUUUAGAAGACACUAGCAAACUGGAGACAACGCUCAGGGAACUUCGCAGCCGUAUCAGGCAGGCGAGGCAAGACAAGGAGAAAGCCUUGGAACACCUGAAGAACAAGUUCCUAGAGCUGGACACGCAGAAAAACGAGUUGGAACAGAAGUACAACGACAUGUUGAAGAGCAACGGUGACACCGACAGCACCAUCGAGCAUCUCAAGAAGGAGGUGUUUCAGUUGAAGCGCGAACUAGAAGAAGCCAAGAAAGCCGCGCGGAAGGCUACUUCGCCAGGUCCGAGCGUGGCGAAUCCGCGGCCGUCGCAAGCGAGACCCGCGAACGUGGAGAACGCGGGACAGCAGCCUGUUGAUCGGUCGCAGCAGCAACAGGUAAGUCCGCAGACAAGUGACGAUAAAAAUCCGCAGCCGUUGAAUGCGCCGAUCGCUCAGCAAACGAUCGAGGACCCCCUGCUGUCGAACGAGCAACGCCUGAACGAGAUGAACGACGUUCAAUUCGCUCAGAAGAACGGCAACAUUGUACCAGUCGGUCCCAACGAGAUGAAGGAAGCCGAUGUGUUACCAUUGCCCUACUAUCUGCAAGAGAAACACCAGGGAAAGCAGAGCGAGCAAUUCGUCAUCAACGUGAACCAGAUAGAGAGCAACAAAGAACUGAGACAGGUAAUCCCGCCACCGAAUCAGAUCGAUGACAGUCUCGGUGACAAAAAGUCAUCGAGCAACCCGCCGGUGAAUGAGAUAGGUCGCAAGAUUUUUGACAAGAAGGACCAGUCCGCCGUAGCGAAUAACAACACGAAGAAAGUAGAGAGGAAACUGGAGAAAGCGCAGAACAAUGUGGACGGGAUUUUGAAUCAAAUUUUGAGGAUGAUCUGACGAAGAGGUUUAGUCGGAACUUGCGAUCCCUCGUUGGUAUUGUUUUCAUUGAAAAUACUGUGGGCAAUUACGUUAAUCGUGUUCCAUGAUGGCUCCUCUUCCUGAUGAAUUUGCAGCUAGUUUCUUGACGAUUGGGUGCAGCUUCUGACGUUAGUUGCGAUGUGGCACUUGUUGAAGGUGUUCGAAGUGUUUUAUUUUUUUUCUUGAGGGGAAGAGCAGAAUCUAGGAUUGUGUGAUGAAUUUUUAAGAUUUUUAACAUUGUUGUUGAUGUCAAAGCAACAGCGAGCAUAAGUGGAAAGAUCAGCGUUGAUACGUGAAUCUUGGAUGCCUCGAUUGCGUGAGAGUGUGAUAACGAGUGACAAAUUCACGUAUCGACUAUGACUGUAGUCACCACGUUCGCUACCAGAGCGUAUCUAUUAAUAUAGAUAUAAUAUAUCUAUUAAUAUAGAUAUAUCUAUAGAUGUAAUUUUAAUGACAUAGUUGGUGCUUGGUGCUUAACCCAUUGAUGAUCGAACUAGUUCACAUUAAUCGGUGAACAUUUCAAUGUUAUCGCCGAAAAUCGGCUGAAGAUUCCAAAGAUUGCUUUGAUAUUGUUAAUCGUUAGUAUUUUCCUAGAUUGAACUAAAAUGAUUUAUAUUUCCUGGUCGUUGAUGGGUAAAAAAAGAACAAAUAUCUGUCUGUUAUCAUUUGUAAUAAAGGUGUAUUGUACCCUACAAGGGAAAAGAAAAUGAAGUUUGGCAAUUUUGUCAACGUUUCUUGCAAGAACAAAUUAUCACAUGACAGUCGAGAAUACAAAAUAGAUAGAUCUAUAAAUAGUUUGGAAAGUUCGAGGAAGUUCAAAAUAAGUGCCUUUGAAGUGACAUGAUAUGAUUGAUUACGAUUGAUUGAUUGUUGGGGAACUGAGUCUCUUUCGAUGUGAUCUGCCUUAUGAUAUUGAAUUUACACAUGCACGUAAUUUGCAUGGUUUGUACUUGGUGCUGUAGAUAGAUAAUUUCUUUAGUUAACACGAGGGACCCGAAAUUAAUCUACAGAAUUGUUUCUCCACUGUUGUUUUCAGCAAGUGGUUACAGAUUGAACAGUAUAGUACGAUCACGGAAAAAUGACGAAGACUAUAAACAAUCUGUUGCAUGAUGGGCUGAUCUAUUGAUUGAUAGUAGUAUUUUGAAGAUUACUUAGUGACUUUACUCGCCUUUCUUUUUCUAUUAAUAUGUAAUCGGUAUUAAAUAUUUAUUUAUAACAAUAAUAAAUGGAGCAAAAGAAGAGUUGAAAGAUGAAACCCUGUGCAAACUGCCUUGGACAGAUUGUUAUCUUGCAAGGAAUAUCUACUUUCUCUUCUUGAAUCUUGUACAACAAUAAAUAUACUCGCGAAAAUCUGAAUUUGCAGAAAUAUACGCAAUCUAACGAUAUAUAAUUUGACAAUUCAAAAAGCUCACAAACUCAAGUCUCACUUGUGUACUUUUCAACAUAUUAGAUUUUUCUUUGAAAUAAAAAUGUUUUAAAUGUGCAAUAUCCUGAAGACAGAGUAACAGAAUAUUUUAGCAAUUGUGUAAAUGUUGUGUCCUUUUUUUUUCUCUUUCUUCUCUUUUUUUUAUUUCGUAUCAUUGUCUUUUGCAAUUUUUAUAAACAAAAUUAGAGCACAUUAGUUUGUCAAAUGACCACAUGUGUUGUGUAUGUUUCUCGUACUUGAAAAGUUCUUUUUGCUCGUAGCCUUUUAAAGCUUUGACAGUCUGAUGAACGGGAAAAACGAACGAUUUUUCUCGUCAUUUUUCUUGGAUGAUUGAGAAAGAAAAACCAGUCAUGUACAUGUAGCUUGCAAGCUGUAUUAAAUGUGCUUGUAUGUCCGUGUUAAUCAAUUAAUAAAUUGUUAUUAUUUUGA
This is an RNA transcript of Frieseomelitta varia, 3291 nucleotides long. It is a transcript of the gene named Golgi integral membrane protein 4-like, with no coding region annotated. The record is from RefSeq and is a predicted model, not a curated record. NCBI's taxonomy places the organism in Eukaryota, Metazoa, Arthropoda, Insecta, Hymenoptera, Apidae. The transcript is spliced from 5 exons.